This 246-nucleotide ribosomal RNA is filed under the name uncultured Gardnerella sp. RNAcentral's name for it is "partial 16S ribosomal RNA". It matches the Rfam family "Bacterial small subunit ribosomal RNA", at positions 109 to 354 of the family's 1533-position model. Lineage: Bacteria; Bacillati; Actinomycetota; Actinomycetes; Bifidobacteriales; Bifidobacteriaceae. The record is from RNAcentral.
AGUAAUGCGUGACCAACCUGCCCCAUGCUCCAGAAUAGCUCUUGGAAACGGGUGGUAAUGCUGGAUGCUCCAACUUGACGCAUGUCUUGUUGGGAAAGUGUUUAGUGGCAUGGGAUGGGGUCGCGUCCUAUCAGCUUGUAGGCGGGGUAAUGGCCCACCUAGGCUUCGACGGGUAGCCGGCCUGAGAGUGCUGACGGCCACAUUGGGACUGAGAUACGGCCCAGACUCCUACGGGAGGCAGCAGAC